UAUACUUAGAGCUAAGAUAACCGGAGAAGCCGAGAAAUCCUAUACUAAAGCAUUCAUUGUUAUCAAGCUUGAUUAGUUCACCUAGUAUCUAAACCAGAGCCCUUCUAUGAGCCUACCUGUUCUUUCUUAAAUGCCUAGGCUCAUCUAUGAUAGUUCAAACAACAAGUACCUAUGGUAGGCAUACCUAUUAUCUAAUAUCAAGUUUUAGGUGAUCAAUCUAAAACUAGCAAUAAAAAUAAUCAAGAUGAAGAACUCUAAGAAUAAUCCUAAGCGGUUUUCGAUCUACUAAUCCAUCUAAAUCCCUAUUGAGACUCCUUAAACCCAACAAGGUGAUUACUUAGACAUGAUAACGGUAACACAAAUCAUAAUCUGAAUAGUUUGCAUUGAUGAAUUAGGAUAGAAGUGAAAGGAGUUCAG
This 417-nucleotide small RNA is filed under the name Arabidopsis thaliana (thale cress). Its description in RNAcentral is "ATSL265420". The record is from RNAcentral. Lineage: Eukaryota; Viridiplantae; Streptophyta; Magnoliopsida; Brassicales; Brassicaceae.